CCCUGCCAUUUGUACACACCGCCCGUCGCUACUACCGAUUGAAUGAUUUAGUGAGGUCUUCGGACUGGUGAUGAGCGGCAACCGUCUCGUGCGGUGCCACAGUCGCCGGAAAGAUGACCAAACUUGAU
This 128-nucleotide ribosomal RNA is filed under the name uncultured eukaryote. Its description in RNAcentral is "partial small subunit ribosomal RNA". It matches the Rfam family "Eukaryotic small subunit ribosomal RNA", at positions 1651 to 1769 of the family's 1831-position model. The record is from RNAcentral.